AUUGAACGCUGGCGGCAGGCCUAACACAUGCAAGUCGAGCGGAUGAAGGGAGCUUGCUCCUGGAUUCAGCGGCGGACGGGUGAGUAAUGCCUAGGAAUCUGCCUGGCAGUGGGGGAUAACGUCCGGAAACGGGCGCUAAUACCGCAUACGUCCUGAGGGAGAAAGUGGGGGAUCUUUGGACCACACGCUAUCAGAUGAGCCUAGGUCGGAUUAGCUAGCUGGUGGGGUAAAGGCCUACCAAGGCGACGAUCCGUAACUGGUCUGAGAGGAUGAUCAGUCACACUGGAACUGAGACACGGUCCAGACUCCUACGGGAGGCAGCAGUGGGGAAUAUUCGGCAAUGGGCGAAAGCCUGAUGCAGCCAAGCCGCGUGUGUGAAGAAGGUCUUCGGAUUGUAAAGCACUGUUAGUUGGGAAGAACAGAAGUGAAUUUAAAUCUUCCUGUCUUGACGUUACCUAAACAAAAAGCCCCGGCUAACUUCGUG
This 484-nucleotide ribosomal RNA is filed under the name uncultured bacterium. RNAcentral's name for it is "partial 16S ribosomal RNA". It matches the Rfam family "Bacterial small subunit ribosomal RNA", at positions 30 to 507 of the family's 1533-position model. The record is from RNAcentral.